This 800-nucleotide ribosomal RNA is filed under the name uncultured bacterium. RNAcentral describes it as "bacterial SSU rRNA". It matches the Rfam family "Bacterial small subunit ribosomal RNA", at positions 41 to 805 of the family's 1533-position model. The record is from RNAcentral.
GGGGGGCUAACAUGCAGUCGAGCGAGCUUGCCUAGAUGAUUUUAGUGCUUGCACUAAAUGAAACUAGAUACAAGCGAGCGGCGGACGGGUGAGUAACACGUGGGUAACCUGCCCAAGAGACUGGGAUAACACCUGGAAACAGAUGCUAAUACCGGAUAACAACACUAGACGCAUGUCUAGAGUUUGAAAGAUGGUUCUGCUAUCACUCUUGGAUGGACCUGCGGUGCAUUAGCUAGUUGGUAAGGUAACGGCUUACCAAGGCAAUGAUGCAUAGCCGAGUUGAGAGACUGAUCGGCCACAUUGGGACUGAGACACGGCCCAAACUCCUACGGGAGGCAGCAGUAGGGAAUCUUCCACAAUGGACGAAAGUCUGAUGGAGCAACGCCGCGUGAGUGAAGAAGGGUUUCGGCUCGUAAAGCUCUGUUGGUAGUGAAGAAAGAUAGAGGUAGUAACUGGCCUUUAUUUGACGGUAAUUACUUAGAAAGUCACGGCUAACUACGUGCCAGCAGCCGCGGUAAUACGUAGGUGGCAAGCGUUGUCCGGAUUUAUUGGGCGUAAAGCGAGUGCAGGCGGUUCAAUAAGUCUGAUGUGAAAGCCUUCGGCUCAACCGGAGAAUUGCAUCAGAAACUGUUGAACUUGAGUGCAGAAGAGGAGAGUGGAACUCCAUGUGUAGCGGUGGAAUGCGUAGAUAUAUGGAAGAACACCAGUGGCGAAGGCGGCUCUCUGGUCUGCAACUGACGCUGAGGCCCGAAGGCAUGGGUAGCGAACAGGAUUAGAUACCCUGGUAGUCCAUGCCGUAA